GGAAAGUGUGUAGGUCUCUUUAACAGAGUA
RNAcentral lists this non-coding RNA (30 nucleotides) under Rattus norvegicus (Norway rat). Lineage: Eukaryota; Metazoa; Chordata; Mammalia; Rodentia; Muridae. The record is from RNAcentral.